Molecule: non-coding RNA, 15603 nt
Organism: Anas platyrhynchos (mallard)
Lineage: Eukaryota; Metazoa; Chordata; Aves; Anseriformes; Anatidae
Source: RefSeq, a predicted model, not a curated record
GUUGAGCUUGUGGGGGCUCUGCUUGGGGUUGUUUGCUGCCUUUGGAUGGGGCUCCUGUCCUGGCUCUCUCUGUCAGAUCUCACUUAGGUACCAGUCCACCCUUGGAUUAUGGGAACUGGUGAGGCCAAGCAUUGGGAAGACACCUUGUCCCUCCUCAGCUUUGCUUCACCACGUGGUGCCAGAUAGGAAGCCUGUUUAGCGAUGUCACUUGUUCCUGCCUUCCCUGGGUGAGGGUGCUCUGUGUGCAAAUGGACAAACACUUCCAUUUGCAAAGGUUCACCAUGUGUUGUAAGCAGAGAAGAGCCAAAGCUUUGGACACUGUCUAUGAAUCUGUGUUGCCACAGAAGUCACUUCUGUCUGCAUGUGCAGCAGUUACACUUCUAACUCAGCUGUCAGGAUAAAGUCUAUCGACAUGUGCCAGCAAGUGGUUUGUGUGGAGUAGACAUUCACUGGAGCUGCAGAGCUCGAUGUCAAUGGACCAGCUCUCUGCAACACAGAAGGGUCAAACAGCAUGCUGGUGUGUUAGAUCCCAGCCCCAGUGCUCCUUGUACCGCAGCAAGUGCUUGCAAGGAGGGAGUGGGCACCACGGCCAGGGCUGUGCUUGCCAGUUGGGGUGGCUUGGCCUUGCCUUGUGUGUUCAGAAAUCAACCCACAGAACAGUACGAAAAUGAAUAUGGAAAUACCAUUACAAGAAUUUAGGAAAAGUGAGAGCCUUAACCAGUGAUUAAGAAAUAAUGAUGUUAACGAAACAAGUCUGAAAAUUUUCAUCUUUUUCAUCAUCUCCUUUGAAGGUUUACAUAAAAGAAGAUGCGGUAAUUUUACGUGGAAAUCUGGAGCAGUGUGAUGCAAUCGUAAAACCAGAAUUCUGUAUUAUGUCUCCGGUGCCCAGCAUUUCUGGUCGACUGCCACCCAGCCCGCCAGAAACGCAGGGCCUAGGGACCUGGCAUGAACCAUAUGAAUUCAGUGUGUGUGUUUUCUCCAGCAGAAGAUUAAUGAAGAUACUUUUCUGAAGAUGCUGAGUUUGAGUCACCUCCUAUUCAUGGUGAAGUAUCUCCAAGGAAGGAAAGUGUGUGCAACCCUAUGGCUGGCAUUAUAUACAUGUAUUCCCUGGCAUCAUCCUCCAUUGCAGAGCUGCAUCUCUGUUCAUUUUAAGAGUUACAGCAGUCUGAAUAAUAGAAGUGAUGUACCUUAGGAAUCAGAGAAUUGGGCCUUCUACCUGUCUGGAUGUGCUGUAUAAAGGAAGGACUCGUAUGCUAUGGAACCUCAGUCCUGGUGGUUAAAUGGGAUUUAUAUGCAUAAAGCCAGAUUGGCAAACAAGUGUAAGAACCCAACAAGAAAAACUGGAACAGAGUGCCUGAAUACAUAAAUAACUGAAAAUCAAACUAAUCAAAUUUCCCUCUACAUUUUCGACUUAAAUAUCAGUGAUUCCAGCCCUGGUAAUCAGUUCUCUUUUAACAAGAUUUAACAGAAAAUUGUUUAAAUAAUUCAAAAGCUGUGGUCAUAUAAACAUUAUAUUGCUCAAUUGCAGCAUAGCAGUACCCACAUUUAUAGAACUGCUUGAAAAUUCCAGUCAAGCUGUCCUCUGGUGCUCUCCCUACCUCAGACAUACUUGGAAUUCCCUCUUUUUUCCAGGUUGAGUGCCACAGUCAUCAGUCUUUCAAUGAGUCCUGGAACCAUAGCUGUCAUCUAGUCUGGUUUGAGUGCUUGUAUUGAAUAUGCGUUGCUGAGCUUCAUUUGCCUCCCCUGAAUUCUGUUUUGUUGAAAUAGACCUUCUCAAAGACAAAUGUAGCAAGGCACAUGACUAAAUUUUCUGCAAUAUUUCUCUGUGAUACAAUAAAUUUUCAGCAGAAGAAAUAGCAGAAAAUGAGCAGAAAUGCAUAGGGAAAGCCCAUGAAGGAAUGAUAGAAAUUAAUUCAAAACCUUUUGUUCAGCAUAAUUUGGACAAGACAUAAUAGAGUCCACAGUUUACAAGUGAGAAGCAAUAAGUGAGAAGUAUAUAACUGGUAAAACAGCACUCAGUUAAUUUACAUUUUCUGUUGCAUCUUUAUGGUGAAACUCAGCUAUGUGUUAAUGGUCCUCAGAAGAAUCUAGACAACGCUGAUUCUCUACUUAUACUUUGUAUUAAGGGUAAAAUUCACCAUAUUGAAGAGGACAAGCUUAAGAUCUAUGCACCCACUUAGUACCACUUAUCCCAAUUUUCACUUAACAAGGGCGUAAGUAGUGUAUACGUCUGGAUUGUCCUUCUGCACUAAAGUGAAUUUUCUCCCUAGUAAAUUAGAUUGGUCUGAUGUGUGCUUAAAAGGAAGAAAAUCUUUGCUUUCAUGAGGGGUUGUUCUGGGAAAUUGCUGCUUGACCUAUAACUUAAACAAAAAAUUUCAGUUCUUUAAAAUUGCUUUGACACUCAUGCAUGGUGUAUUUACAUGAUUUACCAUUUGAUCAAACAGCAAAGUUGAAGUAAUGGAGUCCAUCAAUCAUGAAGGGGAAUGAAGUUUUGAAGGAGCUGCUUGUUCCUUUGCUUUUCAGAUCCUUCCUGUGGAUGGAUUUUUUUAAUAUACUUUUUUUUUUUUUUUUUUUGGUGUUUGAGUAAAAUUGGUAUAGAGUGGGUUGAGUAGCAUCAUAAGACCAUAAGCAUAUCCCUCUGCAGAGAGCACAGAAGAGUGGAAAGUAGUUAUAUAUUUAACUUGGAUGUGAGUGAGAUAAACAUAAACAGGAUAAUUUUGCAAGCCAAGAAGUCAUGACAAACUUAAAUUAAAUGGAAUGUCUUGUGUGCAUGCAGACCUACACCAACUUUUUUGUGCUCAGUUUGCUACCAAGAUAGGUUAGACCCACCUGGGUGUGCAUCUUAUUUCACAAGUCCGGCAAUUGUACAAAUACAUAUUCACCCACAUAGAUGCAACUAUACAGAGCCCUCUAGCUUCUGACUUUAAAAUAGGCAGCUAGUUGGACGCAUACACAUUAGGGCAUGCAGAAUACCUUCCUGUGGCCUCAAAUGCAUGUUUUUAUUUGCAGGAACACAGGCACUGCAAGAUAUUCCAGUCACAGUUAAUGAAGUCCUUAAUGAACUGAUGGGCCUGUUUCUUAUCUCACUUAUGCCAGAUUUAAACCUAUGUAACUCCAUUAACUUGUUGAGUUGAUCCUAAUUUUAUAUAAGUGUAAAAAAGACGAGAACCAGACGUUUUAUGUUCUCAUUAUCUAAGAGAAUACAAAGUAUGAAGUUCUUAAAAACCUUUUUUCUGUUUUCUAUCAGUUACACAGAGCCUUAUGCACUCACCCACCUUUGACCCUUCCUACUUUCCCUAUGUACCAGUUUCUCCAGCUACUUACUGUGUUUUCCCACAAUUACACUGAUCAUGUAACUUUUGAUCUCAUUGUGGUUUUGAACCUCCUGAAAUGAGUUUUCUAAACUUUAUUCCUAGUGAGCAUAUUCCUUCUCACAUGAAUCAAAACUCUGCAUUCCUCGUUUUCCACAGAGCCCUCUUCUAACAUCCUAGCUUUUCUCUAAUGGAAAGAAAUUGCCAGUACUGAAAUCAUUCACAUAACAUGAGUGUAAAGUUGUGGAAUUGAAGACAAAAUCUUUUCCCACAUACAGUUUAACUUUGGUAAUGUUUGAUCUAGUCCUGUUCUCUUCAGCUCAUUAUGUUGAACUUUGUCUGUCUCCAGUAGUUUACCUUCCACGUGAACUCUGAAUUGAAAGAUCAGUUUUACUCCAAGGAGACAUACUCUGUGUACACAGAGAAAAUUAUUUCAGAUGUUUUGUUUAACUUUUACUCUGUUUUGAUAUUGCCCUGAUAUGACUUACAAUGUGGUAAUGUACUGUACAUUUCUGUCUUCAUAGCCUAGUUCAAAUACCAGCAUGAACCUGAUCUCCAAGAAAUUCAAGGCAAUGAUUUUUGUGAGAAGCUUACGUAUCAGCUACUUUUGCCAGCUUACUCUAAACGUAUACAAAACUGAAUGGAAUAAGUGGCCAGAAAUGCAACAGGAGCCCUAGUGAGACAUCUGAAAUCCCAAAAGCAUGAAUCUGAGCUGACCUACACCGUGUUAGCACUGGAGUAAUGCCUCUGACUUUGAUGGAGUCACUCAUAAUUUACAGCUAUGUAAGAUCAAAUAUAUAGCCCAGAGAACAGAAAUGUUAACAUGGAUAGUCUCAAUCAGGGAAGGGAUGCUUAUUCUAAUGGUACCUCCUGUCAGUCAAGUCACAGACUAGAUGUCACUUAUGAGCACAAUGGGUCACCCUAUUUCCUCUAUUCUGAAUAUGAUUAAAAAUAUAAAAAUAAGAGUUCGAAUGGAAAAAUGAACUAUUAUGAAAAUAAAUAAGAGGACUGAAAAAAGAAAUCAGAAAGGAGAAUGAAAGGCAACUGCCCUAAACAGCCCCAAACCAAUUACAUCGGGCUUAGCAGAGGGUGAGGUGGUUGUCUGAGCAGCUUGAAAUGAACCGCAUUACUCAGCUGCGUUGCAGUAGUCAUUUCCUAUUUCAUUCUCCCAAGGCUUAUGCAAGGCUCCUCCAGAAAGUGCCAGGUUUCUGCCAACAGAGGCAACAAGAGCUCCAGGAUUCCUCUGCAGCCAAAGCCAAUGUGCGAUGAGGGCAAUCCCCCUCCAAAAGUCGUAUAUGGUGAAAUCAGACCAAGUCUGUGAGAACAGAGCAAUGGCCACCUAGGAAAGUUGUGUCAGAUAUGACUAAAUAAAUGCAGGGUUCAGACCAUCAUUGAGCUGGUGGGAAAAAUAUUUAAAAAAUAAAAAAAAAUCAGAAGGUUAAAUGCUGAAUAAGUUAUUUUUUCCCUUUUGUGGUAGUUCUGCAGUUUGUUUGACCCUUUAUAUUCCUUAUAAUAGGGACCAAAGGUUCAAGUCAAGACAUGACCCUUUGUGAUAGCUCAUGCAUAAAAAAAUAAAUUAAUUAAUUUAAAAAAUAAUUAAAUGUUGUGGAAAAGAAAGGAGGACCCAAGUUUAUCACUCACAAGCUUCAGGGCACUGUUCCUAAUUGUGGACCUAGUCUGAGAUGUGCAGAUAGCUCACGUCAGUUUAAAGAUACAUGAAUUUUGCUCCCUGUCAUAGCCUUAUGAUGCCAAAAAGGACUGCAAGUCACUGCUCAUCUGACGGGUUUCAUAUCUGAAGUCUAAAAUGAGAUGCUUCUGCUUAAGGUCUGACUAUUCAGAGAUGCAUCUGGAGUCCCACAACUGCUCCUGAAAUCAGUGGGAACUCGCUUUAAGCACCUCUGCGAUACAGUCUCGGGUCUCUCCUACUGGAAUCUUUAAAAUUGAAGAUACCUGAAAGUUACAGGGCACUUCAAAAAAGGUAAGCUAGAGAUGACAGUGCUUUUUAAAGCACAACAAUACCUAAGUAUGACAAAUAAUGUAGAAGUGCUAAUACUGUUUGGCAAUUUCCUGGAAGGUCUGUGGAGUGGAAAUUCUGUUCAUUAACUGAUGCUGAUACCUCCAGAAGUCAUUUCAAAUUGUUUUCCUGAAAUAAGACUUGAACCCAGAUGGCAGAGGUGAACCCGCUUCGCUAGCCUCCAACAAGAGAUGUUAUAGGUUCAGAAACAAUAUUUAUAUUCCCAAAUCUCUCUCUCUCUCUUUCUUCCUCUCUCUCUCUUUUUUAAGCUUAUUAAAAUUAAAAGCAUGACCUGCCACAUCACAUUACAUCAAAACAUGAUGUAACUUCUUAAUUUAAAAAAAAAAAGUUUUAAUUUAUGAUGUUGCAUUAUGCCACAAAAAGCUUUUGUUUUCCCCAGAGUAACUAUAAAUUUUUUACAGCGACUGUUUAUCCAGUACCUUUGGCAGACUGAAACAGUGAGCGUUGGCAAAAAGCAGAUAUUUAACAGCUACUGACGAACAGCUUAUGAAUCACCAGGCUUGAAUCCUGGCACACAUCUCCCUGUAGGUACCUUGCUGAAAUGACCCAUCUUCCCUUCAGCUCCUUCUAACUGCAGUAACAUUGAGUAACUGACUGAUCCCGAACCACUAAACUUGAUCUACUUUAUCCUUUCAAGCCUUUAUAUUUUUUGAGGAAAGUACUCUUGCUGUAAAAGUGCCACUGAAAUAACAUUCCAGGAGCACAAUGUCCAGCACUGAUUUGCCACUAAUUCUGAACAACCCAGAAAAAUAUUUUCUUUAUAACAUUUGACAUUAAUUUGUUUUUCAUUUCCAGAUAGAAAAGGGAUUUGCAAAAUAGGUUUACCUACACAUUUAUGUAGGUGGGGGGAACUGAGACAUAAGCAACAGAAGAUGUCAUCAGUAAAGCCAAAAAUAAACAGGUCCUGGUCUGCUCUGCUGGUCCAUGUAUCUUCCAGAUGAUGAAUUCAUAAUGUUUGGCUUCUUGUUUUACAUGCUUCUGCAAGGCAAGCUGGACUAUCCACGAAAGGCUGUAUAUUUGUUGGCCUGGAUCUCUUACAGUCUGUUUACUUGUCUGGUGCUUUUUCAGGGGAUUGUUCUGACUAAAGCAAGGGAAGUUCAAUGGAACUUGAGAACAAGGACUACUUGUCCGAACAAGGAUUUUCGAGCCCUUGGUUUCCGAACAAUUGCUUUAUAGGGUGGACUGUGUACCAUAAAUCUGUAGCAUAGGAGUAUGGUCAUAUUGGCUUAACUGUCUUACUAAGACUGGACUUAUUUCUCAUACAACUGAUAAAAGUCAUAAUGCUGUCAGUCCUUGGUAUACUAGCUGUACUCAACUUUUACUGCUUCCUAGUUCCAUGAUCCAUAGUGCACAUAUGGGGUAUAAAGCCUUCUUAAAAUCAUAGCCCCUUAACUAAAAGCUUUUUCUGAGAGAUAGUGUGGUUUGAAUUAUAUUGAGGACCCCAAAUAGCAAUUGCUCUUGGGCCACUGCCUUUGAAAUAGAUCUAUUUUAGGUAGAUAUUCCUCUUUUGAAGGGGUACUUCUACCCCUAUUUAUGAGCCUCAGUGUUUGUACCAAAUAACCUAACAGCAGAGUGAAAGCUCCCUGAGUAUUUUUGAUGUAGACGCACCUCGAUGAUCUUCAUCACAUGUGAUGUGUUGGGUGAAAAAGGGCAUUUUUUUCACCGUUAUGUAGCUGUUGCUUUGGGUGCCCUACUGAGAACCAAACCAGAGGGCUACGACCUGUUUUGCAUUAAAAUCCUAGAAGACUGUCUAUUUUAUCUCUAAGUUGAGUAGGGGAAAGCUCAAAUCUAAACAAAUGUCCCUGGCUCAGGAAGCCAUUCCUUGUGUCAUUUCUAGUAACAAGCACCUAUUACAUUAGUAGCAUCUCUCCCUGUGACAGAUUGGUGAACUAACCUGGAUUGUUUUUACUUGAGAUCAAGUCUUCAGUAUGGUUCAGUGAGUGUGGUGCAAACAAUUGCACCAGCAAAACUGUUAGAGCACUGAGUCUGAAAUAAGCUGGGGGGCUGUUUAAAACAUUUGUUAACCCUCUCCUAAAAUGCAGUUGACACAACACACCCUAAGACAGUAAACUCUACCAGUAAGAGCAUGAUGGAAAAGAGAAGUCUUAGGUGAAAACAUUGGAUGAAGCUGAACUAAAGACUCCAAACUGUCUUGUAAAUAUGGAAGGAAUUAUCUUGAAGGAAUCUCCUGUUGACUUGACAUAAGCGGUUUCAUGUUUUAUGGCAUCUUACAUUAUUGUUUAAAUUUGUUUCAGGAAAGAAACAUACUUUUUAAGGUCAGGCAUACAGAUUUGUUAGAUGCUAAGACACCUGAAAAGCAAGAAUACAGAUUGUAGGAUGAAUAUUUUACAGAGUAAUUAUUUAAAUAUAUUCAAGUAUGAACAUCUUUAGAUCCUAAAUUUAGUAUUCCUGAAGAAUAUAAUCUUACAAUAAAAUCUAGCCCACUCUCCUAUUGUUCAUACCAUUUCAAUUUUUUGUUUGAAUUAGCUGUUUCGAAAAUUUGUUUUUUGAUUGUUUAUUUAAAGUGCCCCAGACAUUUUUGAUAUUUUUGCCCCAUCUUUAAUUUUUGGCAUGGCACUUGCACAUAUGUUGAUGAUGAUACGUCUGAAGUUCUCAAAACAUGAUCACACACCAUAGCUGGUGUGAGAACCACUCAGAUGUGAUGUGCAGAGGAAGCUCCCUGUUUCCUAUAGAUCCCUUGCCUAAGCUGCAGGUUAAGGGCCUGCCUGGGGCACAGAGCAGCAACCCAGCAACUGCAAGAUCCUUCAGCAGCUCUGCGUGGCUCAGGAGCACUCUGUGCAUUGAGCAUUCCCUUGGCUGGAGAUCAGGAUCAAGGCUGAGACACAGUGCCUGGAGGGGUCUGACUGAAAGUGAUGAUGGGUGUAAGUAGUUAAGAUAUAAGUAGUUGAUAGGUCUGCAGAUGCUGCUGGAUGGAGGGAGUUUGGAUUAAUAUGCAGAAAAAGUGAGAAAUGAAGGGUUGGCUACAUACCUUCAUGUCUACAUGCACCUUGGAAAUUAAUAGUAAAAAAAAAAAAAAAAGUUAUCAAGCAGUAACAGCUGCUAUUGCAAACUCCUUAGUAACCUGGAUUUGGGGAACCUCAUUGCUGUAACAGAGAUAAGAAAUCCACUGGCUGCCAUGAAUUACUGGAUUAUGAAUCACAUUUCCAGGUAGGUUCUCUAGAUCUGCACACCAAGUUGAACUCAAAUUUUAGGGUUCAGCUGUUUUGUUUAGGCAUUGUAAACAACGAGAUCUCUGAGUUUUAUACCUCUGAUUGUACCUCUCAUACCUCUGAGCUUUAUGUCUUGUUAUAUGGAUAGAACAGGCACCUGCAGAAAUGUGAGCCUGCCUGCAUCUGGCUGAAAACAACACAGCUCAAAUUUAACCACACCUGCUCUAUUUAAAAUCAGUAGUAAAUGUUUAAUACACUGAAAUUGAGAUAGGCUCUAUUAUGUUACGUAAAGAUAUUAUAGAAUCGCACAAAGAUCUUUUGUUAUUCUUGGCAUCAUGAAGCCUAAUAAACAGCUUCAAUUUCAGUUUUAAGUACGGACACCUUAUUGUCAAGUGUUGGCUGUGAUAUAUUUAUCAAUAACCUUUUCUGGCCACCUGUUUUCCUGCACGGUCUUUGGUGUGUCCUGACUGAACCUUAGCUUGCUCAGCUAUAUUCCAAUAUUCUUACUCUGGAUCUUCUGCUCUACUACCCCACCAGGAUUAAUGUAACAAAGGUAAGAACUGAACUUCCUCUGUAUGCAUCAUGCACACUUACUACUUUAUAUUACAGCCAGUUGGACAGAAGUAGAUACAGCAAAACUUCAGUCUGCUGUGUGACCAUUUUCUUGGAAAGUCCUUGUAAAAUAUUUUCAGGGCAUUCACAUGUUUCCAAUACCAUGAAAUCAGAGGAAUAGUGAUGGCAGAAAAUGGGAGAGUCUAAAGAACAGGCCUAUUGCAAUGGGUGCACAUACACUAUUCCUACAUUUCAACUCAUUCAGACACAAGACACAGAAGCUUCUAAUUCAUUAGAACAGUGCUGAACACACAAAUGACCACAUGUGCAGUGAGGUCAUCAUUAAAUAUAUUGACACAAAGAUAAUUCUGCAGUAAAAUCAUUACAGAAUUGAAAAUAUACUUGUGUAUAACCCACUACUUCUAGAUCUCACACUCCUGGAUGGGGGUGUUCGUGCUGGGAGGUUAUGGUACUGCUCAUUGUGAGUAAAGCUAAAAGAACCUGAGCCACAAAACAUACUAUGUUCUGCUUUGUUUCUGGAGUGUUCAAAACUAAAUCUGCGGACAAGACUAAAAGAAAAGAGCUAUGAACUCUUAAAAACAGCAAUUGUGUAGAACUCAUGAGACGUUGUUUUCCUAAGUGAUUUAUUUGGUUCAUAAGAGGAUGUGAGUGUGAAUUUAUCCCAUUCUCCUAUUUUGAACAUACAAAUUUGGAGAUGCAGUCAAUUGUCUGGUGUGGGGAUACAGACAACAAGCUAAUUCCUGCAAGUAAAUUUGGAGAUGCAGUCAAUUGUCUGGUGUGGGGAUACAGACAACAAGCUAAUUCCUGCAAGUUGUGCUCACAAAAUUAAUGGCUGUUUUAAAAAAAAGAAAGAAAGAGAAGGAAAAAAAAAAAAAAAAAAAAAAAAAAAAAAAAAAAGAAUGAAAGAAUGAACAAACAGCCCACACUUCAUUAAGUUGUCUCUAGCUUAGUUUGUCAGGGAUUUGUCUGAACCAGAGUAUGUUCUUCAUAAGAAAGCCUCUAAAACAGCAAACUGAUACCCAGCUCCAGUUGCUCACCUACUUUUUUAGUUCUGUGAAGUAAAACAAGAAUUUUUCAUUCACCCAGUCAAAAAGUAUAACCAAAGUUAUCCCUCAUCCAACAUUUUGCUCUAAACCAGAAAAGGUAUUUUUUGGCAGACCUGUUACCUCACAUGUGCUUUUCCUUUUGCCUCUUAGCCUUGCUUGGCUUCUCCUGCCCUUGUUUCUGCAGUGUACAACUGCUGCAGUUCAGUUUCCUGUAGCUCUGCCUCAUCAGGUGCCCUCUCUGCAUCAGUUUCAAGUAGUGUGCAAAGAUGAUGGAGAUGGUGCAAGAGAGCUCCAAAACUUUCAUACCUUCAGUAUUAUCUGAUGUCUUUCUGGCUAGUAAGUCUACCUAAUUUGUGAAUAUCUGGCAGGCAUUAUAUCCUUCAUAGCAGGUAUUGUACAUGUAUUCUUAAAUUUUCCACUGUAAAACAUAAUACUGUAGCCAGAGAAUGAUCACAUACACUGUAUCAUGACCUAGGUCUAGGUUUUGUAUCCCCAGUUUUCUGGAAGUAAUAGGUAGGAGUCACAGAAGAAAUUCUAGUCUCAGCCCUCCAGGGUGUUAAUCAAAGGUUUCCAUGUGUACCCUUGUCUUAUUUCUUCAAUUUGUAUCCCUGUUACCAUGCCCUCCACUAACCUGAACUGAAUCUUCCCUAACAAAAAGGCCCUUUCUCAACAAGAUUAAAAGCAGAAUACUUUAAGUAAUUUAGAAUACAAAUGUGCAAUGAAAUAUCAGCCUGGGUGAUGCUAUGAGAAGGAAGAGUGUACAGUAUGCUUUAUGUGCUUUUAGCUGUUCUACCCUACACUGCAACAUGUGCACCCACUCUUGUAACCUUUACCGCUGUGCAAAGAUGAUCUGUCAUUUCUACAAAAUAUAUAUAUAUACACACGCUUCCACUGAGGCAGCUUUGAAUCCUUACUGCCCUCUAGAGAAAUUCUACUAGAAAAGCUCAAACUGACCGAGUCAGCAAAAAAUGAUUGCAGUCCUAAUCUUAAUGAAACUAGCUGCGUACAGUGUCUGUAACAAGAUCUGUAGACACAGAAAUGCACCUAAAAGAUCCUUUUUCCCAAGCCUCUUACUAUCACUUGGAGUUGUGGCCAGAGUUGAACACACUUACCCCAUUCACUGUAUGGGAUAGUUCAGCAAAAAUCCAACUUUGUUAUCCAUGGAUUUAAGUGAAAAAGAAACAAAGAUUUUUUUUUAGCGAAAUUACAAGGGCAAAAGCUACCUUAUGUUCUCACCACCAAGGGAAGCUUAAAUUAUUUAAACUACACAUCUGUAACUAUACGAUUUUACUAUUCACACUUCCAUCCCAUGUUAAACAAGGCAAGCCCAGUGGCAGUGGAUGAAACCGGCAGUGACUGAGCGCAGAGUCAUGCUGCAAGGCUUGAGCGAGCCCUCUUGAAGAGGCUGAACACCUCCUGCGUGGGAAAAUCUAUGGCAGAGGAAUUUUAAACAAGCAACCAACAUCAUGGAGGCAUCUGAACUCUCAUCUCCACCACUGUGCCGCAUCAUUCUGGGGCUAGGGUGGCUUUGCACAAGCCUUGCCUUUGAGGUACCACAGAGCAGCAUCACCCCAGGGCAGAAGUUGUGCCUCCAAAAGGCCCAAUUCUCACUCUGUUCAUUCUUGUCAAAGGCAACGGUAUGAUUCUGUCGCCCUGCAUGCCAGCCAGUCACCUCUAUGAAGUAUUUGGAUACAUGUUUCCAGGUGCAGAAGAGUCAGCCUGAGUGUGCCAAGCUGAACAGACGUGCCAAAGGGUGUUAAACCCCUUGCCAUACAUGCACAAGGAGGUUUCCUGCAAGUACCUCGUGCAGAGGAGAGCAAACCCGGGAGCACACCCUGAUCCAGGCAAUGAUCCCAUACAGGUGCUGUCAGAGCCUAGACAUUUCAGUGUGACACAAACCACCUCAGAUUAUUAGCUCCUAUAAUUUGUAAUGCUUGUAACAAAUCUCUCCAUUCCUUUUGAUCUGUAUAUGAGAUCCUUUUUGUCCUUAACAGAGAAAGAACCACCUUGCUUCCCUCAAAGCUAUGCUGGAGGCCACCAGGUUAAUUCCAUGCUAUAUGCAUGGAUAAAAAGGAGGAUAAGAAGAAAGAGCAGGUCAUGAAGUGGCAAAGGUUGAGAAGCCCGGCUUUAAACACUUUAUGGGAAAUUGUAAAACUUCUAAACAAUUUAAUAGAUUAACUUCCCCCUUCAGUGGCAUCAGUAAAACUGAAUUAUCAUCCUCACUUUUAACUGAUGCCUAGACCCAAUACUCAUCCAUCAGGGAUCAUUUAGUGAUAAAGCAAUCAAUCCUGCCAUGGUGCAGAGGGGACAAACUAUGCAAGAUACCAUCACCAAAUAUCCUUUCCACCCCAAAGCAUUCUGUGAGUCUUUGUCAAUGAAAGUGCAUUUGUCUAGUCUUAUCUGUUGCAGUAUACGUGGAAUACAAAGGAAGAAAGUAAAAUAUGCAUUUGAUGUACAUGUGCAGAUGCCAGACGUACAAUCAAACCAAAGAGGACUGCCUUUUUCCGAGGAACUGAACACAACACCUGAAAACCAACAACUGCACCACUACCUCAGAAGAAUGCAAUGUGUGUUUUAUACCAAAGUCAUAUUAUUUUCCCUGUAACAAGUACAGAAGCAGCUUUAUUUGCAUUACUCACUUGCAGAUCUAGAGAAGAGAACACUGAAAUGCUAGAAAGACUUCUGAGGAGAUGAAAGAGGAGAACAGUCAGUGUGUUCCAGCAUGGAAAGAGGCUCUUCAACUUGUCUGCAAGAAGCAUCUCUAUCUAGAAGAUGACUACAGAUCAGAUUUCGCAGUUUUAAGAGCUAUGCUGGUCCUAAAGGAGAAAGGGAGAGAAGGCCACAUUCCAAUCUCACUUGCGAUGUUUUUGCACCAUGGCCUUCAAGAGAGAUAAGCUUUCCCUCUUCAGUGACCGCAAGCUUAGAACCAAGUUUAUAUUCUUUUCUUGCAAUACUGUUGGGGUUUUUUCACAUCUUAUUGGUAUGUUGCCCUUCUUUAUACUUUUUAUACCUCUGCUUUCUAUUGUGUCUUGUUUUUUGUUGUUGUUGGUUUUUUUCUUUUAAAACUAUUCUCCGGCAGCCUGUGUGAAAGGCAAAUGAAACAAUAAAUGGUGUAGUAUUUUAAAGGGCUUUCUCUAUUUCUCUCCUGUCUAGCUCAACUGAUAGCUGUCUUCCCAUUACUUCAGUUAGUUAGGGUUUUUCUUUUUCUCUGAGCUUGGAAGGUAGGAUACGUUGCCCCUGUGUGAUCUCAGACGACAGGGGGCUGGAUGGAAACGCUGUGUGAAGGUAGAAGUCUACACAUUUCUUGUCGUACAUAAAUGUCUGUCUCCAGGAGAGUGUUCAGGCCAUAUCUGUCCAACGCAGUGCCCAGAAAUGCCUGUCUCAGAGUCUCUGAUGAGGCCUGACUUUUUUGCGCCUCUGUCUGAUUUUUUCUUUUUCUCUCAUGAUUGACAUUUGUCUUUUCCGGGCCUUGUUUGCUUGCACUGCACUUGUAGGCAGCCUGAAGCAGUGCAGUAUUUUCAUUUCAGUCAGGUUAAGGGUGACGAAGAUUACACAUGCAUACUGAUUUAUGCCUUAAAGGCUGGAAAUAGUGUCAAGUGUGAUCUCAGCUGAGCUCUGCUCGAUGACUCAAGUGCUCAGCACAAUGUUAUACUCCCAGACAUCAAUCCUCAUCCAGUGAAAUGAAAACUCUGUCCAGAACAUCGUUCAAUAAAGUCCUGAUCUGUAAGUGUUAUUAGUUAUUAAUAAGAUAAUAAUGAUGCUUUCCAUGUUCAUGCCAAAGCCUGAAUCGAGCCUUUAUUGGGCUAAGUACUGCUGAAACACAAGGCAGUGAGCAGUGCCAGCCUCAAAGAGCUCUCAGCGUAAAUGUGCAGUAGAUAACUGGUAUCUCUGCAAGUCACAGUAUGCACAACCACAUGGGCUUCUGAGAACGAUUCACUGUGAAGGCAUUAUGAUACGAGGUGUCAGUCCAGUAUCUUUGGACGUGGGUCCUUACAGAAUUAUAUUUGCAGGUGCCACAUGUCAGGAGUUCUUUGUAAAUAGCAGUUGAUCAGAUGGUAGAAGUUAUUUGGAAAAAUCAGGGUUUUUGUUUUUGUGUUUUUUUUUUAAUAUUUCACAGUCUGUAUUAUGUUCAUCAAUGCCUAUUGACUGUUGUUUGUUUGUUGUUUUCUCUGCCUUCUUCUACCUGUACAGGUAAAACAAUAGCAAAACAAAGGCCAAAGAGAAGUGAUUUGACAGUUAGUAUUACCCUAAGGGAAAAAAAGGCGAAGGACUUGAACCGCAGACACCAGCAUGGCAAGCUAUUGGUUAUUCUUGUGCGGGUGACUGUCCCCCUCUAGUUUUAACCUCACAUAGCUGUAUGGACCUGAAAAACUCUUCCCAACACAGGUAUCACCAGAAUUCUAAUGGCCAUAUUGAAAGUGUCAGAAAAUUCCCUGCCAAGCUCUAUUUGCAGCAUUCUGGGAAAUACCAGAGAUGAGAAGAACAAUGCACAAGCAGUCCAAGACUGAACGCUUCCAAUUGCCUUCAGCCCUUGCCAACACGGGGAACUAAGCAGUUUGCUUUGCUACUGACCAAGCACUUUCUACAAGAUAGCUGGAAAGAAUGGUGGAAGGGGGUGGAGGGAAUUCCUCUUCCAGAUGCCAGUUAGCUCUGAAUCCUUUCCUUUAAGUUAACACAUUUCUUCAAGUGUCCAAUGGAAUAAUGAAGCAAAUGCUUCUAAAAGAGCUAGUAACACACCAGACAUGCAGUCAUUCAUAUCUGAAUGUAGUGCAACCUCAGAUCAUUCACGUAUCAAUUAAAUAUUGUUACCCUGACACCCAGUCUGAAACAGCAAGUACAUCAGUGAGUAGAGCUGCAAUGCUCUUACCCUGCUGUAUUUGUUCUGGCAAUCAAAAGGGGGCACAUAGACUGCCUAACUGUCAUUACAGGUCCUUCGAUAAGUGAAAAUUCACUUUUAACAAAACACAAUGACUAUUCUUUUCUAAUCAAGUCAAGCAGGCUUGUAUUCUAAUGAAAAGGCAUUAAACCAAGGGAGAAACAGAUUAAAAUAAGUUAUGCUAUACUGCAAAAUACACCUGUGACUGCAACUAUAAUUGGUGGAUAGACAGACAGGCAGUCGCUCUGUCAGCUUUGGAAAUGGGUCAUGGUGUUCUGGAAAAAAACAGCAAAAUGAGUUAAAAUUCAGCUUUCAGUUCUACAGCUCUAUAUACACUGUAGAAAAAUAGAUUCAGGUUGAUUGAUCGUACUCAAAGCUGUGAUUUCUUUUGGAUAUACUCCCAAAACAGACUCAUCAGCACUGACCAGAUUCCUAUUUCUGUGGUAUACUUUGCAGCUACUGGCUGUGUAGUCAUGCUAACAUAAAACCAUCUGUAUUUCCUGAAUCAAUGUAAACUUCUUAAUUUUUAUUAUUUCAGGGAGAAGGUGAUUCUGAAUAAAUUUUGAAGCUGCUAGCAAUGUUCCAUGUUCAA